AUGACUACGAGAAGACCGCUCGAGCUACUUCAUAUGGAUCUCUUUGGUCCAAACGCCUAUAAGAGUCUCGGUGGAAACUCGUUUGGUUUAGUCAUAGUCGAUGAUUUUUCAAGAUUUACGUGGGUGUUCUUUCUUGAGGAUAAAUCACAGGUCCAAAAGAUCUUCAAGAACUUCGCUAGAAAGGCCAAAAAUCAAUUUGAAGUGAAGAUCAAGAAGGUUCGCAGCGACAACGGAACGGUGUUCAAGAACGCGAAUAUGGACAACUUUCUUGACGAAGAAGGGAUUUCACAUGAGUUCUCGGCUACGUACACGCCUCAACAAAAUGGAGUUGUUGAGAGGAAGAACCAGACUCUUAUUGAGAUGGCAAGAACGAUGCUUGAUGAGUACAAUACGCCAAAACACUUUUGGACUGAAGCGGUUGAGACAGCUUGUCAUGCAACAAAUCGUCUAUAUCUUCACAAGCUACUCGGCAAGACAACAUACGAGCUUCUCACUGGUAACAAACCCCAAGUUGGAUACUUUCGAGUAUUCGGCUCAAAGUGCUAUAUUGUUGAUAAGCAUCGUCGUUCUAAAUUUGCUCCUAAAUCUCAUGAGGGUUUCCUACUCGGUUAUGGCUCAAACUGUCACACUUACCGUGUCUACAAUUUCACCCAAAAGGUUGAAGAGACGGUAGAUGUGAAGUUUGGUGAAUCUAACGGCUCGCAAGUAGAGCAAUUGCCAAUUGAUGUAGGAGACAAAGACCCUUCGGAAGCAAUCCAAGACUUGUCUAUUGGCAAGAUUUGUCCAACGGAGGUGAAGGAGAGUACCUCGUCCGUCCAAGUGGAAGCUUCUACCUCACGACAAGGUGAACCAAGAGUUGACACAGAGGCAUCCACAAGUGGGACACGCCAAGAUGAAGAAAACGAGGAAGUACACCAAGAUGAACCUCAUCAACCUCCUUCUCCACCUCGACAAGAGAACGACAAUAUCAACAACGAAGAAGGCCAAGAGGAAGAAUGA
RNAcentral lists this ribosomal RNA (999 nucleotides) under Triticum aestivum (bread wheat). Its description in RNAcentral is "partial small subunit ribosomal RNA". Lineage: Eukaryota; Viridiplantae; Streptophyta; Magnoliopsida; Poales; Poaceae. The record is from RNAcentral.